Long non-coding RNA from Astyanax mexicanus (Mexican tetra), 945 nucleotides. RefSeq lists it as uncharacterized. The record is from RefSeq and is a predicted model, not a curated record. The transcript has 2 exons. NCBI's taxonomy places the organism in Eukaryota, Metazoa, Chordata, Actinopteri, Characiformes, Acestrorhamphidae.
GGGUCUGUGUGGUGUGUGUUGGGUCUGUGUGGUGUGUGUUGGGUGUGUGUGGUGUGUGUUGGGUCUGUGUGGUGUGUGUUGGGUCUGUGUGGUGUGUGUUGGGUCUGUGUGGUGUGUGUUGGGUCUGUGUGGUGUGUGUUGGGUGUGUGUUGGGUGUGUGUGGUGUGUGUUGGGUCUGUGUGGUGUGUGUUGGGUCUGUGUGGUGUGUGUUGGGUCUGUGUGGUGUGUGUUGGGUCUGUGUGGUGUGUGUUGGGUCUGUGUGGUGUGUGUUGGGUCUGUGUGGUGUGUGUUGGGUGUGUGUUGGGUGUGUGUGGUGUGUGUUGGGUCUGUGUAUGGUGUGUGUUGGGUGUGUGUGGUGUGUGUUGGGUCUGUGUAUGGUGUGUGGGGUGUGUGUUGGGUGUGUGUGGUGUGUGUUGGGUCUGUGUAUGGUGUGUGGGGUGUGUGUUGGGUGUGUGUGGUGUGUGUUGGGUCUGUGUGGACGGGGUGGACGGAUGAAUGAAUUCAAGGUAAAAGCGGUGAGCUUAUAGGAGCUUAUAUAUACUUAUAUUCAGCUCUGUAAAUAAAUGAAGAGAUCACUUCAGUUUCUGAAUCAGUUUCUCUGAUUUUGCUAUUUAUAGGUUUAUGUUUGAGUAAAAUGAACAUUGUUGUUUUAUUCUAUAAACUACAGACAACAUUUCUCCCAAAUUACAAAUAAAAAUAUUCUCAUUUAGAGCAUUUAUUUACAGAAAAUGAGAAAUGACUGAAAUAACAAAAAAGAUGCAGAACUUUCAGACCUCAAAUAAUGCAAAGAAAACAAGUUCAUAUUCAUAAAGUUUUAUAUGAGUUCAGGUUUUUAAUCACAGUUUUUUUCAUGCAUCUUGGCAUCAUGUUCUCUUCCUCCACCAGUCUUACACACUGCUUUUGGAUAACUUUAUGCUGCUUUACUCCUGGUGCAAAAAUUCAAGC